GGGUACUGAACAUCGAAUUUUUAGGAGUUAUUACCCAAUGGUGGGGUAUUGUCCAAUGGUGGGGUAUAUUGUCCAAUGGUGGGACAUUUGGCUCCGUUUAGAGGUGAAAUCCGGAUCAUGAGCAUUUGCAUAUAGACUGACCAAUAGGAAUUAACGCAUUUUAGUCAGGUUGUAACUCAAGACGAGGUGUGGUGAUUAUGGAACUGAGUAAUGUGUCUUGUACGGUCUAAUUAUUUAUUUGG
Molecule: long non-coding RNA, 242 nt
Filed under: Medicago truncatula (barrel medic)
Lineage: Eukaryota; Viridiplantae; Streptophyta; Magnoliopsida; Fabales; Fabaceae
Description: long non-coding RNA (MTRU_LNC006735)
Source: RNAcentral